AGACCCUCGCUUCCCCGCCAGGGCAGGUUUCUGCCACCUCAGUGCUUUUGCAGGUGGUGGGAUCCAUGGAGGAGAAAACUCAGAUCUGCGGACUCCUCUCCACCUGGCGCCCACACAGGUUCCAAAGGUGGAAACACAGAUGACAGAUUUUUGGUCUUUUCGUCAUUUCCUAUGUUUGGAAUAGUUCACCAGUGAAGUCAUCUCAACCAGCACAGGGCCUUGACUCCUAACAACAAUCACACGAACUUGGAAGAGGAGCCUUCCCCACCUGAACCUUCACUUGAGACCUCGUCCUUGGCCAUCCUCUACAUCUGGAUUCAUGAUACAGAGAAACUUGAGUAAUGAUGACAAUAGCAGUCCAGUGUGCAUGGAUGCUGACGUGGAUGCUGUCUCCCAUUCUUACCACUGGAUGGGAAGAAAUGAUAGAUGCAAUCCAGCCAUUGUGUUCUCGACUCUCAGUUCCAUCUUCUCAACUGACAUUGUCUUCCAAAGUCCGUGCCACACCACAGCCUGGAACAUCUCCCAAAGUGGUAUCUUGAUGCAAUGGUAGAGCUCAUGUCACAGUAUUGUAUGUCUCAGGUUUGAAUAACUCACCAGUGAAGUCAUCUUGACCUGGACAGAAAUUGAAUCCUCCCGAGAAUCCCAGGAGCUGGACUCCAUUAUGGAUUUAUGGGACCACACAUUCUCUUGACACUCACAUCAUGGAUCUAUAUUGUCCUGUGGUAUAUUAAUCUGUUCUCAUGUUGCUGAUAAAGACUUACCUAAGACUGGACCAUGAUCAUGGACUGCAUUCUCCAUACCAUGUUCAUAUCUUCAGUGGGAAAACAAACUCCUGAGUCCUGGAGACCUAGAAUGAGAGACACAGCUGACCUUGACCGUAUUUCUCACUUCUGAGAAGAUUGUAGCAGUAAUUCAGGUCUUUGUGGAAUCUCCACACUGCCUUCCACAAUGGUUGAACUAAUUUGGACGUCCACCAACGGUGUAGAGGUUAAUCCUAAGAACAGUUACAUGAGCUUGGAAGGAGACCCUUCCCCAGCUGAGCCUUAGCCUGGACCAUCACCUACAUCUGGACUGAAGACCUAGAGAAACAACUCUAUCAGGAAUCACUUGGGACUGUGCAUUCUGUUGACACUCACUUUGUGGAAUUAAGUUGCCCACUGCCAACCCUAAAGCCACCAAGGUAGCAGAUGAGGUCUUGUUCUUUUGGCCAGGCUGGAGUGCAGUGGUACAGUCGUGACUCACUGCAGCUUCAAACACCUGGGUUCCAGCAUUCAUCCCACUUCAGCCUCCCGUGUAGCCGGGACUACAGGUA
This 1312-nucleotide long non-coding RNA is filed under the name Homo sapiens (human). RNAcentral describes it as "HSALNT0379852". The record is from RNAcentral. Lineage: Eukaryota; Metazoa; Chordata; Mammalia; Primates; Hominidae.